GACUCCGGAGAGGGAGCCUGAGAAACGGCUACCACAUCCAAGGAAGGCAGCAGGCGCGCAAAUUACCCAAUCCCGAUACGGGGAGGUAGUGACAAGAAAUACCGAUUCAGGAUCUUAUUGGAUCUUGAGAUUGGAAUGAGUACAAUUCAAACCCAUUAACGAGGAACAACUAGAGGGCAAGUCUGGUGCCAGCAGCCGCGGUAAUUCCAGCUCUAGUAGCGUAUAUUAAAAUUGUUGCAGUUAAAACGCUCGUAGUUGAACUUUGGGCUUGGCUGGCUGGUCCGCCUCACCGCGAGCACUGGUCCGGCUGGGCCUUUCCUCUUGGGGAUCCACAUGCCCUUCACUUGGGUGUGUUGGGGAACCAGGACUUUUACUUUGAAAAAAUUAGGGUGUUCAAAGCAGGCAUUUGCUCGAAUACAUUAGCAUGGGAUAAUAGAAUAGGACGUGUGGUCUUAUUUUGUUGGUUUCUAGGACCGCCGUAAUGAUUGAUAGGGAUAGUUGGGGGCAUCGGUAUUCA
RNAcentral lists this ribosomal RNA (517 nucleotides) under Hesperomyces virescens. RNAcentral's name for it is "SSU rRNA". It matches the Rfam family "Eukaryotic small subunit ribosomal RNA", at positions 379 to 900 of the family's 1831-position model. Lineage: Eukaryota; Fungi; Ascomycota; Laboulbeniomycetes; Laboulbeniales; Laboulbeniaceae. The record is from RNAcentral.